RNAcentral lists this ribosomal RNA (512 nucleotides) under uncultured Candidatus Poseidoniales archaeon. RNAcentral's name for it is "bacterial SSU rRNA". It matches the Rfam family "Archaeal small subunit ribosomal RNA", at positions 412 to 926 of the family's 1478-position model. The record is from RNAcentral. Lineage: Archaea; Methanobacteriati; Thermoplasmatota; Candidatus Poseidoniia; Candidatus Poseidoniales.
UUGACUCUUCAAAGUUCUGGAAUAAGGGGUGGGUAAGGACGGUGCCAGCCGCCGCGGUAAUACCGGCGCCUCAAGUGGUAGUCGAUUUUAUUGGGCCUAAAACGUCCGUCGCCUGUUUGGUACAUUCGUGGGUAAAUCAACCAGCUCAACUGGUUGAAUUCUGCGAGCACGGCCAGACUUGGGACCGGGAGAGGUGUGGGGUACGCUCAGGGUAGGGGUAAAAUCCUGUCAUCCUGAGCGGACCACCUGUUGCGAAGGCUCCACACUAGAACGGAUCCGACGGUCAGGGACGAAGCCUAGGGGCACGAACCGGAUUAGAUACCCGGGUAGUCCUAGGUGUAAACGCUGUGGACUUGGUGUUGGGAAGGUUCCGAGCCUUCUCAGUGCCGAAGCGAAGGUGAUAAGUCCACUGCCUGGGGAGUACGGUCGCAAGGCUGAAACUUAAAGGGAUUGGCGGGGGAGCACCGCAACCUGAGGAUUGUGCGGUUUAAUUGGAUUCAACGCCGGGAAUC